GAUGAAGAACGUAGCGAAACGCGAUAGUUAAUGUGAAUUGCAGAAUUCAGUGAAUCAUCGAGUCUUUGAACGCACAUUGCGCCCACUGGUAUUCCGGUGGGCAUGCCUGUUCGAGCGUCAUUAUCCUCCCUCAAACCCCGGGUUUGGUGUUGGACCCAAGUUGUGUGAACAACUGGUCUCAAAGACAAUGACGGCGUCCGUGGGACCCUCGGUGCAACGAGCUUUUAGGAGCACGCAUCGAGUUGCAAGGACCUUCCGGGCCGGUCUCCUUUACCAUUUUACAAGGUUGACCUCGGAUCAGGUAGGAAUACCCGCUGAACUUAAGCAUAUCAAAAGCGGAGGA
This 343-nucleotide unclassified non-coding RNA is filed under the name soil metagenome. RNAcentral describes it as "partial contains 5.8S ribosomal RNA, internal transcribed spacer 2, and large subunit ribosomal RNA". The stretch from base 1 to 120 matches the Rfam family "5.8S ribosomal RNA", at positions 35 to 154 of the family's 154-position model. The record is from RNAcentral.